This 253-nucleotide ribosomal RNA is filed under the name uncultured bacterium. RNAcentral's name for it is "partial 16S ribosomal RNA". It matches the Rfam family "Bacterial small subunit ribosomal RNA", at positions 524 to 776 of the family's 1533-position model. The record is from RNAcentral.
UACAGAGGUCCCAAGCGUUGUUCGGAUUCACUGGGCGUAAAGGGUGCGUAGGUGGUGAGGUAAGUCGGAUGUGAAAUCUCCGGGCUCAACCCGGAAAUGGCAUUGGAAACUACCUUGCUGGAGGAUUUGAGGGGGGAUUGGAAUACUUGGUGUAGCAGUGAAAUGCGUAGAUAUCAAGUGGAACACCAGUGGCGAAGGCGAAUCCCUGGAAAAUACCUGACACUGAGGCACGAAAGCUAGGGGAGCAAACGGG